Long non-coding RNA from Culex pipiens pallens (northern house mosquito), 1972 nucleotides. RefSeq lists it as uncharacterized. The transcript has 3 exons. The record is from RefSeq and is a predicted model, not a curated record. Lineage: Eukaryota; Metazoa; Arthropoda; Insecta; Diptera; Culicidae.
CAGUUGGACAUCUGUGCGCGUCGCGAAAACGUCAGCUGAUGCUCAAGUGUUUUGCUGUAGUUUGCGUAUUUCGCUGUUUGCGAAUGAAUUACGGUGCAUUUUUUUUUGAUGAUGUUUCGUAUGGAUUCGAAACGAGUGCUGUGAAACUUGUGGACCACGUAGGUUUAGGAUUGCUCGGCGUUAAACAUCUGUGUUUGUGGAUAUCUUUCAAGACGGCAUCCGUGAUUCUUCUGAACGAUCAAGAAGAAACAGGAUAAAUUUGAGACCUAAACCCAGAUCCAGCAGACGACCCUGAUUGAUACACGGAUCAAUAAGCUUCUGUUCGGUGCGGCUAAUCCAGCCGGAUUUGGCAAGUUGGCGAUCCAGACCUUUCCGAAAUGGUCAAACCGACUUUCAGAGGGAACCUUUGUUGACGGAGCUGGAAACAGAACCGAUUUCGCGUGGAUUUUUUUUUCAGAGAAAGCGAAGCAUUUCGCAGCAUGUUUUUGUUUAUAAACUCAUAGUCUAGGAUAUAACGUAUUGAAGAAUAUUACCAGCAACCUAAUGGACAAAUCAGAUAAGUUAACAUUAAAUGUAGUAAGCUAAAUACUGUGCAGUUUGUUUUCUUUUUUCAGGUUUAAGCCAAGAGCAACAAGAUCACCAGGUGAACUCUCGAUAGCCCGGCGUUGCACGACUGCUUCGUUUUCCUUCAGAAGCGGAUGCUGAAGUUACGUUAAACUUGGAACCCAUCCAUCCGACCGACGAUUUCCACAGGAUGGCGGAGAUGGAGCUGAUAUUCGGUCAACUUUCUACCGCAUUGGAUGCCUCCUUGAUCUGUGAUUUUUUUUUCCUCUGUAUAAUUUAAUCCUAAGACUUUUUGUGGAAUUUUUUGUGUUUUUGUGAAAUAAAAAAAUAAAUAAGCUAUUUGACCAAAGCAAAAUAAAUGUUUCUAGCUCAAAAUUCCGAAAAUCCUUGAAAAAUUGAUGUUCAUUCGAAUUGUUACAACUAUUUCCCAAAAUGUAAUGCGCCAUGAAAAAUCACUGAAAUAACUAUUUAAAACCAUACAAAUACCAUUUGAGAAAUGGUGAAAUCCCUAAAAUAUAUACGCAAAAAUGAACUUUCAAAAAGCAUUUGACAAAGUGUCGCUAGAAGAAAAAUCAAAUAGUGAAUAUUGCUAACAACAUCCCGUAUAGAAAAAAACCGUUUGGAAAUCAUUUGUUAAAUAUUCAAUCAACAUUUUGACAAAUUGUAUAGCCACUAUUUGGUAAAUCAUUUUUUUAAUUCCUCACUGUCUCUCAAAUAGUGAACUAUUCCCCAUAUAUGUUGUUAGCAAUAUUCACUAUUUGAUUUUUUCUUCUAGCGACACUUUGUCAAAUGCUUUUUGAAAGUUCAUUUUUGCGUAUAUAUUUUAGGGAUUUCACCAUUUCUCAAAUGGUAUUUUUAUGGUUUUAAAUAGUUAUUUCAGUGAUUUUUCAUGGCGCAUUACAUUUUGGGAAAUAGUUGUAACAAUUCGAAUGAACAUCAAUUUUUCAAGGAUUUUCGGAAUUUUGAGCUAGAAACAUUUAUUUUGCUUUGGUCAAAUAGCUUAUUUAUUUUUUUAUUUCACAAAAACACAAAAAAUUCCACAAAAAGUCUUAGGAUUAAAUUAUACAGAGGAAAAAAAAAUCACAGAUCAAGGAGGCAUCCAAUGCGGUAGAAAGUUGACCGAAUAUCAGCUCCAUCUCCGCCAUCCUGUGGAAAUCGUCGGUCGGAUGGAUGGGUUCCAAGUUUAACGUAACUUCAGCAUCCGCUUCUGAAGGAAAACGAAGCAGUCGUGCAACGCCGGGCUAUCGAGAGUUCACCUGGUGAUCUUGUUGCUCUUGGCUUAAACCUGAAAAAAGAAAACAAACUGCACAGUAUUUAGCUUACUACAUUUAAUGUUAACUUAUCUGAUUUGUCCAUUAGGUUGCUGGUAAUAUUCUUCAAUACGUUAUAUCCUAGACUAUGAGUUUAU